UGGCGCUGUGAGAGCGCAGUGUACCUCUGCGUAGGGUUCGGCGGUGGCUGUGACGGGCCGUUGCGGUGCGGGUGGAGUGGGGUGCGCUGCGCGUGAGGGCAAAAUAUGAAACAGGAGUUUUAAACUCUGCGGACUUGCCAUGGAAGACUCAGAAGAACAUCGCUUCAGCUCCGUUGAAGAGGAAACCAGAUACUGGAAAGAGUUGGCUAUGAAAUACAAGCAAUGUGCUGAGAAUACACAGGAGGAACUGCGAGAAUUCCAAGAAGGGAGCCGAGAAUAUGAAGCUGAACUAGAAACUCAAUUGCAGCAAACAGAGUCCAGAAACAGAGACCUUCUUUCAGAAAACAAUCAUUUGCGAAUGGAACUGGAGUCCGUUAAGGAAAAGUUUGAAAUGCAGAAUUCAGAAUGGUACAGGCAAAUCUCUGCACUGGAAGAUGACUUGGCACAGACAAAAUCUAUUAAAGAUCAACUUCAGAAAUACAUUCGAGAGCUUGAGCAAGCAAAUGAUGACUUGGAAAGAACAAAAAGAGCUGCUAUAAUGUCUCUUGAGGAUUUUGAGCAGCGUCUAAACCAGGCUAUUGAAAGAAAUGCUUUUCUGGAGAGUGAACUGGAUGAAAAAGAAAACCUUCUGGAGUCCAUGCAACGUCUGAAAGAUGAAGCUAGAGAUCUACGGCAAGAACUUGCAGUACAGCAGAAACAGGAGAAACCCAAAACACCAAUGCAAACAAGCCUGGAAACAGAAAGAACAGACACUGCAGUUCAAGCAUCCUUAUCUUUGCCUUCAACUCCCUCCGUGCACCGAGCACCCAACAUCAGCAUACCCACCCCUGCGACAUUUAGGAGAGGUUUUGAGGACAGUUACUGUGCAACCCCCCUCACACCUGCUGCCAGAAUAUCUGCACUUAACAUCAUGGGAGACUUGCUGCGAAAAGUAGGGGCUUUGGAGUCCAAACUUGCCUCCUGCCGAAACUUUGUGUAUGACCAGUCUCCAGACAGAACCACAGUGUCCAUGUACAUGAACAGAGAUGUCCUUGAAACACGCAUGAGUCCUCAUCAGCCUCUGUGUGAUACAGGGUUAGUGAAACGCCUGGAGUUUGGAACAAGACCUUCAAAUAUUCCAGGACCAAUGAGUCAUCCUUCACAAAGUGUUGUUAAAAUGCUGCUAUGAAAAGGAAAAAUGAAAUCUUAUGUACAUACAAUAUGAAUAUCAAUAGGCAACCAGACAGAAGUGUAAGAGUAGGUAGAAAGCAGAGUUCUACAGUUUGAUGAUGCAGAUACAGAAAUUUCCUAUGAAUCAAGUCAGCCUGUGUUUCUGUCUUAGUGUUUUCAGACCCAACAAGUGCAGGAAAACUCAGAUUGAAUUUUCUCUUGGUGUGAAUACAAGCAAAUCAACAAUUAUGUAAUGUAGUUUAUCUUCCUUAAAAGCUCCUCUGUUGUACAUGCAAGAGAUGCCACUUGCUGUAAAAGUAUUAUUCGUGAUACAACCAAGGAAUUCACUGAUGAUCAAUUUACGGAUUCAAGAUUACCAAAAAAGGUAAUGAAUAUUGAACUGAUUCUAAGUAUGGCGUAUCUUUUAAGACCUGUGAAGCAUAUACACAUUAACAGUUUAAAAUCUUGAUAAAGAGUGCUUCCUCAGCUGCUAUUUUAUUACUUUCUUAAUGUGAACUGACUUUUUAAAGGGACAAAUCAUACCAGUAUUGUCAGGCAUAGAAGCUUGAUCAGUGUUUCUCUCCUUCUUGAAGACAAUAUUGCCCAGCUGUAGGACAGACGAAACAACCCUCAAUAUAGCUGUAAGAUAAGCAGACAGUAUAAGUGAGGAAUGGAAUGGACACAUUUUGAAAACUUCAUUCUCUACAAUAAUGAAAGUUCAUUGUGUGGCCUUUGGUAGUCUAUACUUCCAUGGAAAGAUCUAGAUUUGCUAUAAAAGACAGCUAUAAGCUGCAAUAGUUUGAGAGCUUGCAGAAGUGCAGCUCAAAUAAUCAGUGCAAUUGAAUAAAUGGACCACUAAGGGAAUGCCAGCAUCUGCAAAACGUGCUGCAUCCCCAGGUAGACCUCUAAAUCUUGGGAAUUCAUCUCUCAGUCAGAGUGGCCUAUGCUUGGUCAUUUGAGAAUCUCUAUCUCUGCUUUUAAAAUCAAACAUGUCAAUGAGUUUCCAACAGCCUUAAGAACAAGUGGCAAUUCCAAAGCUCUGGCUGUGCAGUAUGUGGCUGUUCAUUCAUGCAAAUGAAUAGUGUACAAAUAUUCACAGGAUUAGUGUGAGUACAAAGCAGUAAUUUAUUAACACUUAACUCUUAAAACGUAGAGAAAUUUCAUGCCUUUUAACCUCAGGUAGUAAAAUCUGCUGGUGUUACAGAUGAGAUCAUAUUAAUCUAGAGAGGUCAUUUUGUUCAUUUGGUAGACUCAUACAGGAGAGCAAUACUGUCCCAAUGGGCUUGUAUUUUAAAUCAUGAAAUGAAAGGGGUUCAGACAGCAAUACAAGUCAUUUUGAUGUCAUGGAUAGUGCUGCUAUCAACACCAAAGCAUGUGUUCUGGCUGUAGAACGAAGCAGUUUUUGUCAGUACCAUAAUCUAACUUUACCAAGACAGAUUUGUACUACUGUCCUGCAAGGCAAAGCAUUUUUUUUCUUAGAACCCUCGGGCACUGAUGCAGAUGGGACAGGUAACAGAAAUCAGUUCUGGCUGACAAAGCCGCUCGAAGGCUGGAGUGAUGGCGUGACACAGUUUCUGCCACCAGGUGUCACUUGAGGCAUGGCGGCUGCAGCCAUGCCGAUGUACGCUGGUGAGCACCAGACAAAACCCUACACUCUCCCCGGAACUGUGAGGGGUAAAUGGUGGUUAGUUUGAUGCCUGUGGCAGGCCCACAUUUUCAAGGUAGCUUAGUUGUUUGUUCAUGUUUAUUUUCUUUUUCUCCGAAACAGUGGACAAAAGUAUGAGUUAUUUCAGAGAAUCACAGAAUUUGAGCCCGAUCCACUCAUUUAAAAAUUAUGUGAAGUAAGAUUCUACAUUCAUAUGUUUAUUUUGAGAAGUGGUCAUUCUGGACAGAAUGAACUGCAGUGCAUUUGGAUCUGUCUAUAUUAUUACUUGCAGAGUACGAUCUUGCUAACAGUUCUCACCUGUCUGCUCCUCCUCAGUAAAGCCCAUAAUUUUCAUGGCUUCCAAGGUCUCCAGGAACAUCUCAUCAUCUUGUUGAGCAGGAAUAGGAACGUGACCAUUAGAUAGAAAAGUAUAGUUGUUGAAGCCUUCCAGCAGCAGAUCAUCUAAAAGACAAAGAAGAAAAGUGAGUAUUUGAGUAGCAUAAAAAGGGCUGGAAAUGACUUAGAACCUGGAGUUACAUCAAUGAAAACAGCAGACAGGUGAGAGCUUCAGCCACACCAAUAUCUCAGAGAACUGUGUCGACAUAAGCUAAUAUUACAGUUCAGAGCAAAAUGAUGAACUUUAAUCACUAAGGAAAACUGGAAGAUGUGUAAUGCAACAAACAUCAAAUUAUGUCAAAAGUGUCUUCAAUAGCACUCAAGUAAAUAAAACCAACUGAUAAGCCAUAGAGGAAUGUGGUUGUCGUUAAAGCUGAAGGUUACAUAGAAGAUCCCCAUCCAAUUGAACAGUCUGAGUGUUUUGCAAAAAUUGGUAGGAAUGAUAAACCAAGGGGAUGCUGGGGAGCAGUAUGUCACACGCAGCAAAGUUUAUUGCAAUAAAAUCACCAUCUGACCCCUGCUACACUAAUUGCCCCCACAACAUCUGGCACUGAUGGCAGGUCAGAACUCAAAGAAGAAAACGUCAGCAAGCCAGGACUCAGAACAGUCAAGGCUUUCAGAACAGGGCUGGCUUAGUUGGUGUUUUGCUAUUGCCUAUAGCAAUUACUUAAAGACUGCAGAAAGCUUCCCAUAGUGCAGUGUGCACUUAGCCAACGCUCCAUGGCUUUGCACACAGGCUUCCAGGUGGGCUGUGCCACAUGGAAUUGCCAAGCCUUGGCUGCUGCAGCUACACAAUAUGCAAACAGCCCAAAAUCACAUGAACAGAAAAGAUCAAUUUCUUAAAAUGACAACGGAUUGAGGAUAUGACAGCAGGCUGCUGACAGGCAGGAAUGAAAAGCAGUUCAGUUAAUACCCAGAAUUCCUCCAUGUUCCUCAGUUUUCUCAGUUUCCUUAAGGGACCUCUUAAUCUACAACUACAGUCCCCGACUUCUUGUAGUAAACUCUGAAUUCAAAGUCAGUUUAAACUGAGAACUGUGCAUUGAACACAUAUUAGGGCACUGAUAUUGCUUCUUAUUUUGUCAACAGGCAACUCUUCUACUGGGACUGCAGAUCAAGCUCUUUGAAGAUUUAGAAAUGCCUUUUUUUCAAAACAUAUCCUUCUGUCUGUGAGGUAUCCUCAAGAUUGAGGAAAAACAAGAUACAUUUUUUUACAACAGCAUAUCAACAAGAAUAUGCAGAGUGAGCAUUAGACCAGGGAAGCCUCUGGGCAGAAGUUAAGACACAAACCCGUUCCUCAUUUUAUUUUACCACGGCUGUGCAAUCCGAUUGUUCCCUGUAAGCGGGCAGCCCUAUGGCUUUCUUGGAGAAGUCUGUGAGGAAGCAGAAGGAAAAGACUCCGCUCUUGGUCACCGGACUUAUCCCUUCCUAAUGCCCCAAGCAGUUGGCAGCCUUAUGAAGUCCUGCAGUAAUAAGCCCUAUGUUGCUAAGUUGUGCAGUCUGAACUGCAAAACCUCCCACUGACAUGCUGGCCAAUGCGCAUUCAUGGAGGGAGAAUAUGCAACACUGCUCCAUUUCCUUCAAAAGUUUCAGCAUACUGCAAAGUGGCUGUGUUGUUACAAGAACAACUUUGAUGGGACUUGAACAUCAUCUCUAAUGAAUACAUUGACCAAGGACAAAUAGCAGAGUUCUGUGCUGAACGAGAAGGGUACUGCUGAACUUCUUGCGUAGCUCCCGUGAGGCUCACUGCUGAAAGGCUUUGAGGAAAGAAAGCUGCUUUGACAGCAGGGCCUGCUCAGAACCCUCAGAAGUGCUGUAUGCAGAGGACAGAGAUCAACACCUGAUCUGCAAGGCAGAUAGAUGGCUGAAGCUUUCAAGGAUCUGCUUCUACCAAAUAUGCACCUUUACCUCAAAGCUUACUGAAGCACACCCUUGUAACAACCUCUGCUUUCAUGGCUGUGGAGACAAAGAGGACGCUGAGCUGUGUUACUGGGGAAGGUCAAGUACCAAAUUUCCCCUUAUCUUCUUUCACGAGAACAAAAAUUGUAUCUAAUUUCAGCAGCUAAAAUUCCAGGCAGCUCCACGGCACCUGAGCAGCUUCUGUACAAUCUAUGGUGGGAAGAUAGAAAGCAGACACAAUGGCUUUGGUUGCCCUGGCAGAUUUGCAUAGCAUAGAAGGUUGUGGCUUCUGUUUUUCAGCAGAGCCUUUUCUUUGCCCUUGAAAAGACAAUUCAAAUUCCAAAUACACUUCGACCCACUGUGUUAUGAGAAACAGAAAAAUAGGUUAUGGACAAACAACCUCUGGAAAACCAAAGUUCAAAAUUCAGGAGUUUCUGUGGCUAGAGCAAUCAUAUCCAUGCUCUGUGAAAGUUCAUUUCUGCAAGUCUCCAGAGAGGCACUUCCAGCUCAUUCCAAAAUGAAAGUCAUUCAUAAAUAACUUAAAAGACUAUUUUUCUGCUGUAAUAUUAAACAGAGGAAUGAAGAGAGAAAAUGAUUUGUACCAGUGUGGCAGGAAAGAGCCCCAGCAGCAAGGCAGCAUACCAUAACAAGAGGCUCUUCAAUGCUCGUGCCAGCCAUCCUUCCUGGUUCUGGAAUUCUAUCUGAAAAUGAAAAAUAAGCACACAUGUUUUCACACGUUUGGAGAGCCAGAGAUGCAACUGUUAAUAAGAACUUUGAUGUGGAAUAUCAUCAUAGCAAGCUCAAUUUUACAACUGUGUUUUUUCAUCCAACUGCAAGACCAAAGACUGGAUCUCAGAUUGCUUCAACCCAGCUCUAAUGAAGUCAGCUGACAGGAAGGUCUGACUGCAACUUGUAUCAACAUCCCCGUUCUGUGUACCAGUUUAUUUGAAUAUUCAUUCAACAACAUAAGCAAGAAGGACAAUUCCUAAUAGGAAAAGCAAGACAGAUGUUAAAUAUGAGACUGUGAAUGCUGAGUAUAUGAAUGCACUUGAUUACCUUGAUUUCUGAUAGGAAUAAGAAUCUUCUAACAAGAAAGAUUAGUUAUAGCAGCUUUGGCACUGACAUUUUAUGUCUUCAGCCCCCUCUACUGGCAGAAGAGCAACAACAUCAUCUUCAUCAAUUCAGUAUUAAGGAAAGGUGCUUAUUCAGUUCUUCCCUUAUGCUUUUUAGAUACUGCAAUAAUAUCUUAGACUUCAAAAUUUUUCAAAUUUCUGGAUACAAAAGGAAUAGAUGGUAGUACUAUGCUGAUAAUAUUAAAUAGUGCAAAAUCCCACAGAGCAGAAGGUGAAGCAAUAUGCCAAACAGACUCCUUGAAAGGGAAAAUAAAAGACCAACGAUCCCUUUCAUUUUGUAGCUUAGGCAAUAUUAACAGCAACCAGGCAGAGAGCAUGAAGGGAAAUAAGAUUCAGCAGUGCCCUAUGGACCAGUGAAGUUGGAGCUUAAGUUUCUGCAGUCGGUGGGACGUGAAUUAGAUCCUCAGAAAGAUUUAUUCCUGUACACAGAACUGGCAGCUUAAACAUUAUGAAUGUUCUAUAGAAAUUAUUAGGACAGAUGAGAAUAUUCCACUAUUUAAUUUAUCUUACUAAGAAUUUGUGUCAAAAUUUCUGUUUUAAAUCGCCAGUGUACCAAGACUGCCUCUAGCUGAUCCAUUCCAGAUCUGUAGUUGUGUAAGGAAGUACAGUUUGGCCAGUUUAAUGAAAAUGGGAAAACAAUUUGUUAGGUCCAAAUUUAAAUGAGUUUUCAGUUUUUCACGGUCCAAAAGAAUUAAAAGAAUAAAGCUAAACAAUUUGGAUUUCUCUGCUUCCCUUCACUAUAAUAGACAGCUGCAGCUACCACACAGUAACAAGAGCUUCGCAGUACCUUUUAUGCUGCAAAAAAUUAUACACAUUUUGCUAUCCCUGAUUUUUAAGAAUGCCUGCUUCCUAAAUAAAAUAGCCAUUCCAAUAAAAUAUCCAUCUAUCUUUCCAUUUGUGAGGGCAAUCAGAUUUGUACACAUUACAUAGCAUUAACAUACCAACAGAAGAGAAGCAGACUUGAGAAGCUAAGUUGGGCACUUAUUUAAAUAAAGGAACAUAAAGAGGUCAUUUUAGAAAUCAGAAGUUAGAUCUAGUACAGCUAUUCUUAAAUGAAUAUAUGAGCAAGAGGGAUGGACAGGUCAGAUGGCUUAUUGGUAUUCUGGCACACAAACAAUGUCCUACUGAAGAAUUUUUUCUAUAAAAAAGGUUUCUGUACAAAACAUUCCUUGUACAGAGAAGGAAGUACCCUGUGUCCACUCGUGUUUAUGCAGUUAUCAGCAAAUCUAGCUCACAGAAAACCCAGUCGCGAAUAAAACUUCUGUGAAGAUGACCCUAUACUCAGACCCACCUGUUUGAUUCCUCUCAGUAGAUGGUUUGGCAAAGUUCUGCCUUGGAUAACUCAGCAAAGACACCUUUGGAAGAGUACUCUGGGUACUUUCUUCUUCACCAUGGUGUAAGAAAUGCGAUAUAAUUCCAUAUAAGAGAGGUCUGCUCAAGGCAAAAAUCACAAAAGCCAUCUAUGAAACAUAUUAACUACUGAGCACUUAAACAGUCAAACAGCUUCUCCUCAGAAGUUCUUACACCUUAACGUUCACUUCUAAGAAUGUUCACAUGUCUUCAGAGUAAUUAUUUAAAAUUCAUUACGGUAAAUGCAAUUAUAUAAGAACAGGCAUAAGCCAUCCCUGAAGACAACCCCUCUCCCAUAGCUUGCACUAAAGGAUGUUCUCAACUGAACUCUAGAUCACUUGUAAGCAAAGAAUCAGAGUACAAAGCACGAGUACAGAGCCGUGUUGCCAUACAAAUUAAACGUGUGACCAGUGGGCUACUGGCUUGAGCACCACCAUGUAUCCCAAACUAGAUUUUCACUAAGCAUGAGUCAGAUUCUGUGGGCCCAAGCUACAGGGCAUCACUAAACAUGUUUAAAUGUGCUUCUGUACCCUUGCUAUCAAACCUAGUUGCAUCAGAACGCUGUGAAUUUAUAUCUUAUCUCACAGUGCAAUAAUCUUUUUACUGCUUUGCGUAUCAACUCGGUAAUGUGUAAAGAAUAUGUUUUCUUCUUCUGACUAAAAAGAAGACUGAAGUGGUAAGACUCAGGCAUGCGAUUACAACAGCUUGUGAACAUAUUCUGUAGGAUUCACAGAAUUUAAUGCUAGCUGAGAGUAUGAUUGAAAAUGGCUCCAUGUUUGACGCUGUGCACUUGAAUCCCACAUGUUUAGAGCAGUUGUGUGAUCUCGUUGUAUUGGGCUGGUGACAGAACAUUUAUAUGUGAUUUAUACAACCAUUGUGAAGACAUACUUGCAGAGUAUAUUGUGCGUUCCAAAAUCAAUGCUUACACUGAUUUUCCAUUUGCAUCUUCAAUGAUGUUCAGCUCCUUGACAAGAAACUGUCUAUCCAAGGGCACUUCAGGCUGGCCAGCUUCUGGAAAAUAGAUCAUACACUCAUACAGCAAACGUAAUUACCACAUCUAAGGACAAUUACAGAACUUUAAAUUUUAAAUACAGAUUAGAGCUACCAGUUAAAUGCUUUAGCUCUCAAAUGUCAGCAUUUCAGCACAUCCAAUGACGAUUAAUUGCAGUUGUUAAAAAAUGCGGGCCUUCUUCAUGUCCUUGUUUGUAUCUAAGCUGAGGACUGAUAAACACACCUCUGACAGCUGACGUGCCUGAACUGCUGCAAAUCAGACUAUCAACUGCUUUAAUACAUUAAUUUAAAUUAUUCCUCAAAUUUGUUGAUUUGUGUGAUUUCCAUUUUUUAAAAUUUUGCUCAAAAGCCAAUCAGAAAUCGCAACAUACGUUUUAUAUGUACAUUAUUAUUAUUUUUAUGUACAUUUUUAAAAUACACAUUUUUCAAAACAAAAGCACGUGUCUGGCAAGGUGUUUUGGUUGAGUAGGCUGCCAGCAAACUUAUUUGCUCUUGCAUUAACUGAUCUGUCAAUGUAAAUGCUGUUUACCUCAAGGAUAAGCAACAAAGAACACAUUUUCUUAAAAACUAAUGGUAUAAUUUGGCAUAACGCUGCAAAUAAUGUGGAGGGUGUUUGUAUCCUAUUUGUUUCCAGGGUCAGCCAAGAUUGCACAGAUUGCACACUUUGUUCCCACUGUUUCAGGAGUUACUCAACCAGGCAGUGAAUACCAAUUACAGCGGCAGUGACACCACAAACUCGGCCCCAGUACCUGCAGUGAGCACAGACGCUGCGUAUUUGUACUUGUUGAAUUCCAGGUAUUCACGGAUCAGCUCAUUGAUCAGGAGGUUCUCAUGAGACAGCGGUGGCCGCGGUUCGCUCUGGUCAUCCAACGCAUUGAACACCUCAGCUCUGAUCCUCGCUUUUAUUUGCCCCAAGGCUCCUCUUUUUUCCAGUGUGUCCUUUAAAACUGUUACCAUAAAAACUGUUAAUAUAAA
This is an RNA transcript of Lagopus leucura (white-tailed ptarmigan), 9555 nucleotides long. It is a transcript of the gene named nudE neurodevelopment protein 1, with no coding region annotated. Lineage: Eukaryota; Metazoa; Chordata; Aves; Galliformes; Phasianidae. The record is from RefSeq and is a predicted model, not a curated record. The transcript is spliced from 20 exons.